CGCACUUCGCACAGUGUCGAAGCACACACACCCUCGCACAAGCUCUUGGCCGCCUUUUCACCUCCUCCGCACCCCUUUGGGCGAGAGAAAUGGCCCUCCUUGCGCCCAAGGCGCUGCACAAGCGCGUCAAGGGCACAAACGUGGAGGUACGCAAGGAGGUGACGGACGACAACACCGACGCACAGCUGGCCCUCCUCUACUCGAUUCACGCUGAUGAUGAGACAGAGCUGCGGUGGCUCCACAACACGCUGCGGCCGGAGCGCAACCUGGUCCACCCCUCCGACGCCUUUCUGCACGGCAUGAAGGCGCUGCACCCAGCCGCCGUCUUUAACACGUUCGACGUGAAGAAGGCGAAGCUGCGACGACUCACGAAGUACGAGAAGGACAAAGAGACCGCCAUGAAGCGGCGCAAGAAGGAGGUGGCCCCCACCGCUGCCUACAAGGCCGCCGUCAACCCCCACAAGACCCCACGCACCGGCGGAGCGGCGCCAGCUGAUGAGGUGCGCGUGCUGUCGCGGGGCAUGAACAAGGUACAGAAGGCGCGUAGCCGCACACGGGCUGCCCAUAAGUCUGGCAAGGUGGUCAACGGCGCCGAGGCGCCAAAGGCUUUCUUCACCAAGUGGAAGAAGCGCAAGCAGGAAAAGAUCGGCCGGGGUCUGUGACGCCGUGCGUGCGUGACUAUGUUCUCUGCGUGUGCGCAUUCGGAUGCGUCUGUUCUUUCAUUGUAGCUCCAUGCCGCUGCUGUGACGGCAUGGAAAAUGCGGCUCUCUGGCCCUGUAUGCUGACACAUAUAUACGCGCCCGUCCCCUCUUGAUUUUUCGGCACAUUUUUAAGCGGUUAAGCCAUCCAUCGAUCCUCCCGUGUCGUCUGUCUGUGUCUUGGUACGGAGGGGAGGGGGGGUCGCCUGAUCAUGAUACCUCCCCCUCCUCCUCCUCCUCCUCCUCCCCCCCCUACACAGACACGCAUGCACAUGGCGGGGCUUGGUACAGCUCUCUUUAAGACGCGCACCCGUGGUCAAGCCAUCUUGGAGAAGCAGCUGCAUUCCCAGAAGAAUGAGCGCGUAAAACCGGAAAGGAGGGAUGAAAAACAGCAGAGCAACGCCCAUCGGCGACUUUCGUCUGCCUAUAUAUCUGUCUGUCUGUGUGCCGAGGAGUUCGGUGCCACC
Molecule: unclassified non-coding RNA, 1165 nt
Filed under: Leishmania donovani
Lineage: Eukaryota; Euglenozoa; Kinetoplastea; Trypanosomatida; Trypanosomatidae
Description: gene:LdHU3.04.0420(CDS-product:hypothetical_prote in_conserved)
Source: RNAcentral